GACAGGCUGCGCUAUGCGUGAUACAACAUUUAUCCCGGAGGCCGAUGCGUUCUCGUAAGGGAGCUGUCCCUGUUUAGGUUUGCGGACUUAGACAUCACGGCGCCCACCUAGUUUAACUGGGCCACACGAGGAUACUUAAGUACAUGGUAGGGGCGGCUUGUCU
RNAcentral lists this non-coding RNA (163 nucleotides) under Alphaproteobacteria bacterium. RNAcentral's name for it is "6S RNA". It matches the Rfam family "6S / SsrS RNA". Rfam says of the family: E. coli 6S RNA was the first non coding RNA to be sequenced, but its function was unknown until recently. It consists of 184 nucleotides that fold into an extended hairpin structure with a large single-stranded internal bulge. The 6S RNA specifically associates with RNA polymerase holoenzyme containing the sigma70 specificity factor. Lineage: Bacteria; Pseudomonadati; Pseudomonadota; Alphaproteobacteria. The record is from RNAcentral.